RNAcentral lists this ribosomal RNA (370 nucleotides) under uncultured bacterium. Its description in RNAcentral is "bacterial SSU rRNA". It matches the Rfam family "Bacterial small subunit ribosomal RNA", at positions 524 to 898 of the family's 1533-position model. The record is from RNAcentral.
UACAGAGAUCUCAACCGUUGUUCGGAAUCACUGGGCUUAAAGGGUGUGUAGGCGGCGCACUAAGUUGAUUGUGAAAUCCUCUGGCUUACCCAGAGAAGAGCAGUCAAAACUGGAGUGCUAGAGUAUGGUAGGGGGGAGUGGACCUUCUGGUGGAGCGGUGAAAUGCGUUGGUAUCAGAAGGAACGCCGGAGGCGAAAGCGACUCUCUGGGCCAUAACUGACGCUGAGGCACGAACGCCAGGGGAGCAAACGGGAUUAGAUACCCCGGUAGUCCUGGCCCUAAACUAUGAGUACUAGGUAGGGGGAGUUAUCUCUCUGCUGCCGCAAAAGCAUUAAGUACUCCGCCUGGGGAGUAUGGUCGCAAGGCUGAA